GGUUCCUUGGUCUAGCGGUUAAGAUCCUCGACUUUCUCUCGAGGGACAUGGGUUCGAGUCCCGUAGGGAUCA
This 72-nucleotide transfer RNA is filed under the name Chlamydiota bacterium. RNAcentral's name for it is "Chlamydiae bacterium tRNA-Glu". It matches the Rfam family "tRNA". From Rfam's summary of the family: Transfer RNA (tRNA) molecules are approximately 80 nucleotides in length. Their secondary structure includes four short double-helical elements and three loops (D, anti-codon, and T loops). Further hydrogen bonds mediate the characteristic L-shaped molecular structure. tRNAs have two regions of fundamental functional importance: the anti-codon, which is responsible for specific mRNA codon recognition, and the 3' end, to which the tRNAs corresponding amino acid is attached (by aminoacyl-tRNA synthetases). tRNAs cope with the degeneracy of the genetic code in two manners: having more than one tRNA (with a specific anti-codon) for a particular amino acid; and 'wobble' base-pairing, i.e. permitting non-standard base-pairing at the 3rd anti-codon position. Lineage: Bacteria; Pseudomonadati; Chlamydiota. The record is from RNAcentral. RNAcentral also lists the same sequence under 1 other name.